Molecule: non-coding RNA, 47 nt
Organism: Loxodonta africana (African savanna elephant)
Lineage: Eukaryota; Metazoa; Chordata; Mammalia; Proboscidea; Elephantidae
Source: Rfam
AAAAUGGAUUUCUUCAAAUCCACGAAAAACAGUAAAUGUAUUUUUCU